UGGGGAAUUUUGGACAAUGGGCGAAAGCCUGAUCCAGCAAUGCCGCGUGUGUGAAGAAGGCCUUCGGGUUGUAAAGCACUUUUGUCCGGAAAGAAAUCCUUGGCUCUAAUACAGUCGGGGGAUGACGGUACCGGAAGAAUAAGCACCGGCUAACUACGUGCCAGCAGCCGCGGUAAUACGUAGGGUGCAAGCGUUAAUCGGAAUUACUGGGCGUAAAGCGUGCGCAGGCGGUUUGCUAAGACCGAUGUGAAAUCCCCGGGCUCAACCUGGGAACUGCAUUGGUGACUGGCAGGCUAGAGUAUGGCAGAGGGGGGUAGAAUUCCACGUGUAGCAGUGAAAUGCGUAGAGAUGUGGAGGAAUACCGAUGGCGAAGGCAGCCCCCUGGGCCAAUACUGACGCUCAUGCACGAAAGCGUGGGGAGCAAACAGGAUUAGAUACCCUGGUGGUCCACGCCCUAAACGAUGUCAACUAGUUGUUGGGGAUUCAUUUCCUUAGUAACGUAGCUAACGCGUGAAGUUGACCGCCUGGGGGAGUACGGUCGCAAGAUUAAAACUUAAAUGAACGGGGUCAUAGCUG
This 576-nucleotide ribosomal RNA is filed under the name uncultured bacterium. RNAcentral's name for it is "partial 16S ribosomal RNA". It matches the Rfam family "Bacterial small subunit ribosomal RNA", at positions 355 to 923 of the family's 1533-position model. The record is from RNAcentral.